Molecule: long non-coding RNA, 1068 nt
Filed under: Equus caballus (horse)
Lineage: Eukaryota; Metazoa; Chordata; Mammalia; Perissodactyla; Equidae
Description: lncRNA (ENSECAG00000035702.3)
Source: RNAcentral
GUUGAAGCAAGAAAAGCUGGGCAAGGAGCCUGUGCAAAAUCAAGGCUGUACCACUUCUCAAAGGAACCCAUAAAUGAUUUAGGCCACUGUUCACGAAUGAAAAUGCCUGUGGGGUCCAUGACGUACUGUACAUAUUCCCAUCACUCCAUUUACCGCCCUGCUUGUAUCUGCUGACUUCACUGAACUAUGAGCACCUAGAUGGUAAAACAUAUUCACAUGAAAUUAAGAGAUGGAGUAUUUCAUUGAGAUUAAAAGAAAGCCAUUAAAAGGAAUGAUAAAUUGUGAAAACCGGGUGUGACUGCCUAGCCAGACAUGUACUUCCAAGAUCAGAGACUACGUGCUUCAGUUCAUAAACACAGAGGAAAACCGGCUGGCCUAAUUUAAUGGUGCCCUGGGUGAAGUUUUCAGGGCUUUGCAGGAAAUCUCAGAGGCUCAUUGAUACAAAGAAGUCAGCAAGAAUCAUGACCGAUACUGAGUUUAAUGUGAGAGUUAGGGCACAAAAUGAAAACCAAAAUGGAGGUUUUCGGUUCAAAGAAGAAUUACGAAGAUAUAAAGAAAAUUCUCAUAAUUUAAAGAUUACUAUAAAACAUAAACGUCAAACUUUGUGUGGAAGAGUAAAACUUAUUCCUGUCCUGGGAAAUGAAGUAAAAUGGAAUCCAGGAGUAAUUCUGACUAAAAGUCUGAGUUUACGAACUUCCAGUGCUGCAAAACUGACAAUCUAUUAGGUCUGAGCUAACAUCUGCACCAGUCUUCCUCCAUUUUUAUGUGGGACACUACUACAGCAUGGCUGAUGAGUGAUGUAUGUCCUUGCCUGUGAUAUGAACCCAUGAACCCAGGCCAGCAAAGGGGAGUGCACCAAACUCAACGACUACACCAUGGGGCCAGCCCCUCAAAUAAAGUGUUUUUAUGAAAAAAUAUUUUACAUGGUCAAAUUUGUUUUUUACUUAAUAUUUCAAAUAAAGUGCUUUUAUCAAAUAUUAUUUAGCUUAAAUACUCAUAUUCUAUCAUCUCUGAGAUGAAAUAUAUGCAUUAAUUUUAAGCCUUUGGUUUGGUUUGGAUAUUUGGGUA